GACGAACGCUGGCGGCGUGCUUAACACAUGCAAGCCGAACGGAAAGGCCCUGCUUUUGUGGGGUGCUCGAGUGGCGAACGGGUGAGUAACACGUGAGUAACCUGCCCUUGACUUUGGGAUAACUUCAGGAAACUGGGGCUAAUACCGGAUAGGAGCUCCUGCUGCAUGGUGGGGGUUGGAAAGUUUCGGCGGUUGGGGAUGGACUCGCGGCUUAUCAGCUUGUUGGUGGGGUAGUGGCUUACCAAGGCUUUGACGGGUAGCCGGCCUGAGAGGGUGACCGGCCACAUUGGGACUGAGAUACGGCCCAGACUCCUACGGGAGGCAGCAGUGGGGAAUAUUGCACAAUGGGCGGAAGCCUGAUGCAGCAACGCCGCGUGCGGGAUGACGGCCUUCGGGUUGUAAACCGCUUUCGCCUGUGACGAAGCGUGAGUGACGGUAAUGGGUAAAGAAGCACCGGCUAACUACGUG
Molecule: ribosomal RNA, 468 nt
Filed under: uncultured bacterium
Lineage: Bacteria
Description: partial 16S ribosomal RNA
Rfam family: Bacterial small subunit ribosomal RNA
Source: RNAcentral